This is a long non-coding RNA of Helianthus annuus (common sunflower), 544 nucleotides long. RefSeq lists it as uncharacterized. The record is from RefSeq and is a predicted model, not a curated record. Lineage: Eukaryota; Viridiplantae; Streptophyta; Magnoliopsida; Asterales; Asteraceae. The transcript has 3 exons.
CAUCAUUCUUUCUAAUGGUGUUUAAAUCAUUUGUUCAUCAAUACUGCUUUAUAUCCAAAAUCACACCUGACGAAGACGUUAUUGUCAUGGCUGAUGAAUUUUGGAGGCAAUUUUAUGGGAAAAUUUUCAAAGGUGGUCAAUCAACUCUUUAUUUAGGAGAUAGAUUUUGGAACGUUAAGAUGGACGGAUUAACUGACAGCUGUGUUUUUACUCAUAGAUGUUCUGAGAUGGUAAACGAUCUUGCCUUAGACAGGCGAUCUAUCUUUGUCUUUUCAAUGGUUGGAAAUAAAAUUUUCGAGCUUUCAGUCUUUAAUCAUCAAACCAGUACUCAAAUUCACCCGCGAACUUCGCGGGUCUGAAAAUUUAAUCUGCAUUUGAAAACGCCUCAAUCUUAAGCUUCAAGAUCUCGAAGAUGUUGAGGUUGAUUUAACUCUUUGGGAUGAUUAUGCGAAGGACAUGUGUUCGUACAUGCUUAGUCAAGAUCUUGAAGCCCAUGUUGUCAAAUCUGUUCAUUUUGGUGUUGUUAAAACCUAAAAAGGUAUCU